UGGGGAAUUUUGGACAAUGGGCGAAAGCCUGAUCCAGCAAUGCCGCGUGUGUGAAGAAGGCCUUCGGGUUGUAAAGCACUUUUGUCCGGAAAGAAAUGGCUCUGGUUAAUACCUGGGGUCGAUGACGGUACCGGAAGAAUAAGGACCGGCUAACUACGUGCCAGCAGCCGCGGUAAUACGUAGGGUCCAAGCGUUAAUCGGAAUUACUGGGCGUAAAGCGUGCGCAGGCGGUUGUGCAAGACCGAUGUGAAAUCCCCGAGCUUAACUUGGGAAUUGCAUUGGUGACUUCACGGCUAGAGUGUGUCAGAGGGGGGUAGAAUUCCACGUGUAGCAGUGAAAUGCGUAGAGAUGUGGAGGAAUACCGAUGGCGAAGGCAGCCCCCUGGGAUAACACUGACGCUCAUGCACGAAAGCGUGGGGAGCAAACAGG
This 429-nucleotide ribosomal RNA is filed under the name Bacillota bacterium. RNAcentral's name for it is "Firmicutes bacterium partial 16S ribosomal RNA". It matches the Rfam family "Bacterial small subunit ribosomal RNA", at positions 355 to 776 of the family's 1533-position model. Lineage: Bacteria; Bacillati; Bacillota. The record is from RNAcentral.